Molecule: non-coding RNA, 2852 nt
Organism: Vicugna pacos (alpaca)
Lineage: Eukaryota; Metazoa; Chordata; Mammalia; Artiodactyla; Camelidae
Source: RefSeq, a predicted model, not a curated record
ACCUGCCGGCGCAGGCGGUGUGCUCUCGGGCCGCAGGCGAGGAGAGGGGGGCGGGCCGGGAGGGUGCCUGGGUGGGCCGCACUGCACUGACGGGAGGAGGGGGCGGAGCCGAAACACAAGUCUAGGAGAUUUCCUUCUCACUGAAGUGUGGCCCUUGAGGGCAAGUAAAGCAUGGAUAAUAAUUUUGUGACCACAGCGUGGUGUGGCAGCAAUAACAGGUCACUGCUUUGUUCAGUGUUGCCAGUGACAGAAAACCUAAUUCGAGGUGGCUAAUAUAAUAAUACUGGAGAAUAUGUGAGUGCUCUCUGGGCGCCAGGCUCUGAGAAUCCAUACAUUGAAUCUCUAAUCCCUAGUGGGAUUGGUAUUUGGAGAUGGGGCCUUUGGAAGGUAAUUCGGUCAUGAGGGUGGAGCCCUCCUCAAGAGAGUAGCACCUUCAUAAGAAAAAUCACAACAAACCUCAUGCCCCUUCCCCUUGUGAGGAUACAGCACGAGAAUGGCUGUCUUCAAGCCAGGAAGCAGGCUGUCACCAGACACUAGAUCUCCUGGGACUUUGACCAUGGACUUUCAGCUUCCAGAACUGUGAGAAGUAAAUAUUUGUUGUUUAACCAGCCAGUCUGUGGUAUUUUGUUAUAGCAGCCUGAGCUAAAAUCCACUGCACAAGGGCUCAGCCAGAUGAAGAGGGUGGUUCCUCAGAGGAAAAUUAGGGUCCUAUUAGCAGGAGCAUGAGUGGCCACUAAUCUGCAGAAACGUUAGUCUUGAAGCAGGGAGACAGCUGGAUUCUGUUCUGUGACACUUUGCAGCCAUUUCUCUCUGGCCUUGGUUUCUAUUUUAAAAGAGGCAUUGAAUUAGGAGCUCUCCAAGGUCCUUGCACUGCGCAUGUGCUGUGACAGAGUUCAAUACCAGCUUUCCAGGAUUCAGGAUCUGACACUGGACCUUCUGGGGACCCGAGUUCCUCCCCUAUCCCCACCCCCACCACCCAGUCCUCCCAGUCUUUGCAGAGCUGACUCUUCAAGUUUGGACAGGAGGUCUGCACUUCUCGGCCCACACUGCAACUGAUCAUCCUCAUUCCUGCUUCUGCUUUUUUAUUUUAACUUUCAGUUCUGAUUUCUUCUCUUACCAAACCUUGCCACUUCUCUCCUGGGCUAGACACAGUGGGUUCAAAUUCCAGGUCCAUCACUUACUCUGUGAGUCACACAACCUCUGAGCCUAUGUCUUCGUCUGCAAAAUGAGAAUAAUGCCCACCUGCCUCUUCAGGGGGGAGGGCAGAUGAAGUGAGAAAGUCCGUGUAGAGAUCUUACAACAAAGCCUGACAUCCAUGUGGCACCCACGUAUUCCUAGUAGUAGUAUUAUAAUCUCUGGGUACUUGGGUUGGUGCACUUGGCCUUUUGCAUCACUGCUUAGCAAGAGUUCGAGAAAUACUUUAGAAACAACACUGGAUUUAGUACCAUUCCAAAUGAUUGAUGGAGAGCAGCUUUCAGGGUGAUGGACAUUACUGUGCAAAUUUGGGUAUUUGGGACAGGGAAGCAUGGCUGGGCUGAUGCCUGCAUGGACUGGCUAGACUUCCCCAAUGGUUGCCCAUCAACUACAGGGCAGAGUUCAGGCUCUUCCCAAUAGCUUUUCCCCAGCUGGCUCCACUUUCUGUGGUAGCCCCAUCUCUGUGAACCUUUAAGCUCGAGCCUAGGCAGAACUUACUAUGUGGGCCCUUGCCCACUCCAUCAGACCUCCAGGCUUCCCCAACACAUCCCCCAAUGUCCCUCAUGUCCUAUUCACCUUCCUUGUUCCACUGGUCAUUCUCAUUCAGCUUGAAGUCUCAGAUCAAAGGUCAGCUCUUGCUGAACCCAAGGGAAAGCAGAUCUGGGUUAUGAUGCCCUCAGGCUUUGUACAUCCUCCAUCCUCACCCUUCACCUGUGUGUUAUGAUUGUUUGUUUUCCCAUCUGUCUCCCUGACCACACCAUGAGAUCCCCGAGGGAGUGACUUUCUUACUCAUACUGGAAUUUCCAGGGCUUAAUCAUCACCUCACACACAAUAGGUACUCAAUUUUUAUUAAAGGAAUGACUAUCCCUUCCUUGAUCCCCCAGAUAAUGGUUAAGUCAUGCAUUGAAAAGUGUUGAAAGAACCUGAGCGAACAGGGGCAGAGAUGAGCAGCACUGACAACCCCCCAUCUCACUCCCUCUCUCCAUCCCACCCCUCAUGCCCACCAGCCAUGUGUGUGGCUGCCCUCACCCUCUCAUAACUCAGCUCCAGCAGGCUCUCCCCCGUGUGCUAAAAGGAGGUGGUGAAGUGAUUCCUAAACUCUUAUCGAUGGCAUAUCUCUUUGUUUACACUAUUUGGUUUUUGCUCUCUCCUUGGAAACUUAUUCACUGGGAGUCAACUUGGAGUUGCAAGUGGUUCACAGUGUUUUUACUUUAAUUCUGCUUACAGUCACUCCUCUGUUUGUGAAGCCAGAUGUCUUGCCGUGAGCCUGGCACCCCUAGGGUGGGACCCUGGGUAGCCGCUUCUUGGCUUGGUGGCCCUUUGUCACCACUCAGCCAGUGGUACCCUUCUUCUGGGGUGGCCCACACUGUAGAGUUCCUUCCUGUACACUCUGCUGAUUCAAUUAAUUUCAGUGCCUGCAGUUUUCCUUUGGUAUUUAAGGUACUACAUGCAGCAGCUAAAAAUGUGAUUCUCCCUAUGUCUGGCAGAGGAAAACUUGCAGAAAUGAUCUGUUAGAAAAGUACAACUCAAGGGGGAGGGUACAGCUCAGUGGUAGAGUGCCUGCCUAGGAUGCAGGAGGGCCUGUGUUCAAUCCCCUCCUCUAAAAAAAAUAAUAAUAAGCAAACCUAAUUACCUUCCCCCACAGAAAAACCCAAAAA